GAUGAAGAACGCAGCGAAAUGAGAUAAGUAAUGUGAAUUGCAGAAUUCAGUGAGACAUCGAAUCUUUGAACGCACAUUGCGCCCUGUGGUAUUCCGCAGGGCAUGCCUGUUCGAGCGUCAUUUCAACCCUCAAGCCCCGCUUGGUGUUGGGCCCCGCCCGCCGUGGCCGGCCCUAAAGACAGUGGCGGCGCCGCCUGGCCCUCAGCGUAGUACAGCUCUCGCUCCAGGGUCCGGCGGCCGCCUGCCAGAACCCCCCCAACUCUGUGGUUGACCUCGGAUCAGGUAGGGAUACCCGCUGAACUUAAGCAUAUCAAUAAGCGGAGGA
This 325-nucleotide unclassified non-coding RNA is filed under the name soil metagenome. RNAcentral's name for it is "partial contains 5.8S ribosomal RNA, internal transcribed spacer 2, and large subunit ribosomal RNA". The stretch from base 1 to 120 matches the Rfam family "5.8S ribosomal RNA", at positions 35 to 154 of the family's 154-position model. The record is from RNAcentral.